CCUACGGGAGGCAGCAGUCGAGAAUCAUUCACAACGGGGGAAACCCUGAUGGUGCGACGCCGCGUGGGGGAAUGAAGGUCUUCGGAUUGUAAACCCCUGUCAUGUGGGAGCAAAUUAAAAAGAUAGUACCACAAGAGGAAGAGACGGCUAACUCUGUGCCAGCAGCCGCGGUAAUACAGAGGUCUCAAGCGUUGUUCGGAAUCACUGGGCGUAAAGCGUGCGUAGGCUGUUUCGUAAGUCGUGUGUGAAAGGCGCGGGCUCAACCCGCGGACGGCACAUGAUACUGCGAGACUAGAGUAAUGGAGGGGGAGCCGGAAUUCUUGGUGGAGCAGUGAAAUGCGGAGAUAUCGAGAGGAACACUCGUGGCGAAGGCGGGUUCCUGGACAUUAACUGACGCUGAGGCACGAAGGCCAGGGGAGCGAAAGGGAUUAGAUACCCCUGUAGUC
RNAcentral lists this ribosomal RNA (446 nucleotides) under uncultured bacterium. Its description in RNAcentral is "partial 16S ribosomal RNA". It matches the Rfam family "Bacterial small subunit ribosomal RNA", at positions 338 to 795 of the family's 1533-position model. The record is from RNAcentral.